This 71-nucleotide transfer RNA is filed under the name Marmota monax (woodchuck). Its description in RNAcentral is "tRNA.Ala". The record is from RNAcentral. Lineage: Eukaryota; Metazoa; Chordata; Mammalia; Rodentia; Sciuridae.
GGUUGUGGUUCAGUGGUAGGCAGAGCGCCUGCCUAGCAUGCAUGAGGCACUGGGUUCGAUCCUCAGCACCA